RNAcentral lists this long non-coding RNA (439 nucleotides) under Rhinopithecus bieti (black snub-nosed monkey). RNAcentral's name for it is "lncRNA (ENSRBIG00000045653.1)". Lineage: Eukaryota; Metazoa; Chordata; Mammalia; Primates; Cercopithecidae. The record is from RNAcentral.
AUGCUGCUCCCUCUUCCUAGGGCGUCUUUCCCCGUCGCUCUCACCCUUCAGGUCUCCCCUCCACUGGCAACUCCUGACCACCCUCUCCAGUCGCUCUCUCCUUGUUCCUUCCCGGCACCCAUCGCCAUCGUUCAUCCUCUCACUGAUUUACUUGUUAAUGGUGUGUCCCUCCCUCCGGCUCCCCCACAGGGCAUGUCAGCUAUACAGAGCCGUGCUCUCUGCUGCCUCAUUCCCUGCAGAGCCCCAGCGCCUAGCACAUAAUUGGCCUUGAACUCCUGGGCUCAAGUAAUUCUCCUGACUCAGCCUCACGAUGUGCUGGGAUUAUAGGUGCACAAUAACCCCACGAUGUGCACCGCAGCCCACAGCACACUUUUGACGCUGAAUACAACCUUAGUUUGGUGCAAACAAGGGAGAAGUGGGAAGAAACAAGGAAAACAAG